CUGUAAAUUAUAAUAUUCACAAAUCCUGGGCAAGUCAGUGCUUUUAUUGGCUCAUUACUUGCCAGACGACAAGUUAAUUUGUUUUGAUGACGAUGAUGAUGCUGAGGAUUGCUGGAGCUGCGACUGCUGAAGAUUACUUUUCAGCAUGAAAAGUUGAAUAAUAUUCAUGCCUGAAUGCUUGCGAAAAUUAGUAAUUACAAUUUGUGGAGUUUCUUGGGCGCAGCCAAACAAAUGGAUGAUUGUUAUUUACGGGUCUGGCCAAGCAAGUAAUUAAAUUUUUCGCCUUGGUUGCGUUCGCUGCGGCAGGGCGUGUGUGUGUGUUGGAGGAGAACCGCACGGGAAAUUGCAACAGCGCCGCUUAAAAGUAUGCAACGAAUCUUCGGUUUGAAGUGGAGUAGUUCCGAGAGAAUCGGAAUCAAAUUCCGUUCGCUCUACAUUUAUAAUUGUUUUUAUUUGAUUUGAGCAUGCGAGAGAUUUUAUUACGAAUCAGAAAUUAGAAAAAUAGCUCAAUUCCAAAUAUUAAGAGGAGAGCAUUUUUUGUAGUGGACAACAAAAAUGGAAGGCAGCAUUUUCAUGAAACCCAGCAGGUAGAUGAGCAUCACACUCGAUGUGGAGAUGCAGAACUGCAUCUUCAGGAAGGUCACGGCGCACUUGCGAUUGCACCAGAUGGGCAGCAGGAUGAGAAAGGCGGAGCAGCACUGGAGAAGGCAGCAGGCACAGCUGACGAUCACAAAGAUUGGUCGCUGUGGAGUUUGCCACUGCGUAGACUGAAACAAUGGGGAUAGGGAGACAAUAAAAAAGAUUUUAAAUAUUUGCAGGUAACUCAAACUAAAAUGGGGC
This is a long non-coding RNA of Drosophila montana, 840 nucleotides long. RefSeq lists it as uncharacterized. NCBI's taxonomy places the organism in Eukaryota, Metazoa, Arthropoda, Insecta, Diptera, Drosophilidae. The record is from RefSeq and is a predicted model, not a curated record. The transcript is spliced from 3 exons.